CGCCUUGCCAGCCCGCUCAAGAAACUCAAAGGAAUUGGACGGGGGCCCGCACAAGCGGUGGAGCAUGUGGUUUAAUUCGAUGAUACGCGAGGAACCUUACCUGGGCUCAAAUGUAUGUUGACGUAUUCUGAAAGGGAUACUUCUUCGGACAAUAUACAAGGUGCUGCAUGGUUGUCGUCAGCUCGUGCCGUGAGGUGUCGGGUUAAGUCCCAUAACGAGCGCAACCCCUACCUUUAGUUGCCAUCAGGUAAUGCUGGGGACUCUAAAGGAACUGCCUACGCAAGUAGUGAGGAAGGCGGGGAUGACGUCAAAUCAGCACGGCCCUUACGUCCAGGGCUACACACGUGCUACAAUGGCCGAUACAGAGGGCAGCUACCUGGUGACAGGAUGCAAAUCUCCAAAGUCGGUCUCAGUUCGGAUCGGAGUCUGCAACCCGACUCCGUGAAGUUGGAUUCGCUAGUAAUCGCGCAUCAGCCAUGGCGCGGUGAAUACGUUCCCGGGCCUU
RNAcentral lists this ribosomal RNA (505 nucleotides) under uncultured Sphingobacteriales bacterium. RNAcentral describes it as "bacterial SSU rRNA". It matches the Rfam family "Bacterial small subunit ribosomal RNA", at positions 903 to 1382 of the family's 1533-position model. The record is from RNAcentral. Lineage: Bacteria; Pseudomonadati; Bacteroidota; Sphingobacteriia; Sphingobacteriales.